RNAcentral lists this small nucleolar RNA (185 nucleotides) under Triticum aestivum (bread wheat). RNAcentral's name for it is "Small nucleolar RNA snoR97". It matches the Rfam family "Small nucleolar RNA snoR97". Lineage: Eukaryota; Viridiplantae; Streptophyta; Magnoliopsida; Poales; Poaceae. The record is from Rfam by way of RNAcentral. RNAcentral also lists the same sequence under 1 other name.
UAUCUCUGAUUUGCGGAAGAGGCCCAAUAACUCACAGAUUGUGUGUUGUGAUUAGCUUUGUCUCUUGUUCCUACUCCCUCCGUUCCGAUUUACUCGUCGUGGUUUUAGAAUUUGAACUAAAACCACGACGAGUAAAUCGGAACGGAGGGAGUAUGAGAUAUGAGUUAAAUAACGGCACGAGAUAU